Molecule: transfer RNA, 87 nt
Filed under: Alphaproteobacteria bacterium
Lineage: Bacteria; Pseudomonadati; Pseudomonadota; Alphaproteobacteria
Description: tRNA-Leu
Rfam family: tRNA
About the family: Transfer RNA (tRNA) molecules are approximately 80 nucleotides in length. Their secondary structure includes four short double-helical elements and three loops (D, anti-codon, and T loops).
Source: RNAcentral
GCCCCUGUGGCGGAACUGGUAGACGCGGCAGACUCAAAAUCUGUUUCCUGAAAGGGAGUGGGAGUUCGAUUCUCCCCGGGGGCACCA